RNAcentral lists this ribosomal RNA (385 nucleotides) under uncultured bacterium. Its description in RNAcentral is "bacterial SSU rRNA". It matches the Rfam family "Bacterial small subunit ribosomal RNA", at positions 123 to 541 of the family's 1533-position model. The record is from RNAcentral.
UAUCUUCCCUUUGGUGAGGAAUAACACGAGGAAACUUGUGCUAAUACCUCAUAAGUCUUUACAGAGAAAGCUUUAUGCGCCGAAGGAUGAGCCUGCACUUGAUUAGUUUGUUGGUGGGGUAAUGGCCUACCAAGACUUUGAUCAAUAGCUGAUCUGAGAGGAUGAUCAGCCACAUUGGGACUGAGACACGGCCCAAACUCCUACGGGAGGCAGCAGUAGGGAAUAUUGCACAAUGGAGGAAACUCUGAUGCAGCGAUGCCGCGUGAGUGAAGAAGGCCUUUGGGUUGUAAAGCUCUUUCGUCGGGGAAGAAAAUGACUGUACCCGAAUAAGAAGGUCCGGCUAACUUCGUGCCAGCAGCCGCGGUAAUACGAAGGGACCUAGCGU